AACUCUUAGCGGUGGAUCACUCAACUCAUGCGUCAAUGAAGAACGCAGCUAGCUGCGAGAAUUAAUGUGAAUUGCAGGACACGUUGAUCAUCAACACUUUGAACGCAUUUACGGUCCCGGGUUCCUCCCGGGGCUAAACCUGUCUGAGAGCGC
This is a ribosomal RNA of Empidonax traillii (willow flycatcher), 153 nucleotides long. RefSeq annotates it as 5.8S ribosomal RNA. Lineage: Eukaryota; Metazoa; Chordata; Aves; Passeriformes; Tyrannidae. The transcript has a single exon. The record is from RefSeq and is a predicted model, not a curated record.